This 253-nucleotide ribosomal RNA is filed under the name uncultured bacterium. RNAcentral's name for it is "partial 16S ribosomal RNA". It matches the Rfam family "Bacterial small subunit ribosomal RNA", at positions 524 to 776 of the family's 1533-position model. The record is from RNAcentral.
UACGUAGGGUGCGAGCGUUAAUCAGAAUUACUGGGCGUAAAGCGUGCGCAGGCGGUUUUGUAAGCCAGAUGUGAAAUCCCCGGGCUCAACCUGGGAAUGGCAUUUGGGACUGCAAGGCUUGAGUGCGGCAGAGGAGACUGGAAUUCCUGGUGUAGCAGUGAAAUGCGCAGAUAUCAGGAGGAACACCGGUGGCGAAGGCGGAUCUCUGGGCCAUUACUGACGCUGAGGAGCGAAAGCGUGGGGAGCGAACAGG